GCAUGGGGGUCGAUUUAGCCAUGCUAGUUGCACGAGUUCAUACUCGUGGCGAAAAGCUCAGUAACACGUGGCCAAACUACCCUACAGAGAACGAUAACCUCGGGAAACUGAGGCUAAUAGUUCAUACGGGAGUCAUGCUGGAAUGCCGACUCCCCGAAACGCUCAGGCGCUGUAGGAUGUGGCUGCGGCCGAUUAGGUAGACGGUGGGGUAACGGCCCACCGUGCCGAUAAUCGGUACGGGUUGUGAGAGCAAGAGCCCGGAGACGGAAUCUGAGACAAGAUUCCGGGCCCUACGGGGCGCAGCAGGCGCGAAACCUUUACACUGCACGCAAGUGCGAUAAGGGGACCCCAAGUGCGAGGGCAUAUAGUCCUCGCUUUUCUCGACUGUAAGGCGGUCGAGGAAUAAGAGCUGGGCAAGACCGGUGCCAGCCGCCGCGGUAAUACCGGCAGCUCAAGUGAUGACCGAUAUUAUUGGGCCUAAAGCGUCCGUAGCCGGCCACGAAGGUUCAUCGGGAAAUCCGCCAGCUCAACUGGCGGGCGUCCGGUGAAAACCACGUGGCUUGGGACCGGAAGGCUCGAGGGGUACGUCCGGGGUAGGAGUGAAAUCCCGUAAUCCUGGACGGACCACCGAUGGCGAAAGCACCUCGAGAAGACGGAUCC
RNAcentral lists this ribosomal RNA (660 nucleotides) under Haloferax prahovense. RNAcentral's name for it is "bacterial SSU rRNA". It matches the Rfam family "Archaeal small subunit ribosomal RNA", at positions 29 to 692 of the family's 1478-position model. Lineage: Archaea; Methanobacteriati; Methanobacteriota; Halobacteria; Halobacteriales; Haloferacaceae. The record is from RNAcentral.